This 381-nucleotide ribosomal RNA is filed under the name uncultured eukaryote. Its description in RNAcentral is "SSU rRNA". It matches the Rfam family "Eukaryotic small subunit ribosomal RNA", at positions 587 to 972 of the family's 1831-position model. The record is from RNAcentral.
AGCUCCAAUAGCGUAUAUUUAAGUUGUUGCAGUUAAAAAGCUCGUAGUUGGAUUUCGGGCGUGGAGGUUCGGUCCGCCGUUUCGGUGUGCACUGUCUGUCUGCGUCUUUCUGCCGGGGACGCGCUUCUGGCCUUAAUUGGCUGGGACGUGGAUUCGGCGAUGUUACUUUGAAAAAAUUAGAGUGUUCAAAGCAAGCUAAAGCUCUGAAUACAUUAGCAUGGAAUAACGCGAGAGGACUCGGUCCUUAUUUUGUUGGUCUUCAAGGAUUGAGUAAUGAUUAAGAGGGACAGUUGGGGGCAUUCGUAUUUCAUUGUCAGAGGUGAAAUUCUUGGAUUUAUGAAAGACGAACUUCUGCGAAAGCAUUUGCCAAGGAUGUUUUCA